Molecule: ribosomal RNA, 497 nt
Filed under: uncultured bacterium
Lineage: Bacteria
Description: partial 16S ribosomal RNA
Rfam family: Bacterial small subunit ribosomal RNA
Source: RNAcentral
GAUGAACGCUGGCGGCGUGCCUAAUACAUGCAAGUCGAGCGAAGGGACUAUGAUGUUUCUUCUCGAAAGAUUUCGGCGCACAGGGGAGUGACACAUGGAUAACCUAUCUAUAAUAGUCGGAUAACUUCAUUAAACACUAUCUCUAAUAGGAUAAUAUAGUAUUUCUCAUGGGUCAGAAGUGUAAAAGUUUGUUACGCUCACAUUUGGAGAUAUCCUCGCUGCAUUAGCUAGUUGGUAAGGUAACGGCUUACCAAGGCGACGAUGCAUAGCCGACCUGAGAGGGUGAUCGGCCACACUGGAACUGAGACACGGCCCAGACUCCUACGGGAGGCAGCAGUAGGGAAUCUUCCGCAAUGGGCGAAAGCCUGACGGAGCAACGCCGCGUGAGUGAUGAAGGUCUUCGGAUCGUAAAACUCUGUUAUUAGGGAAGAACAUAUGUGUAAGAAACUGUGCUCAACGUGACGGUACCUAAUCAGAAAGCCACGGCUAACUACGUG